Molecule: long non-coding RNA, 1063 nt
Organism: Xyrauchen texanus (razorback sucker)
Lineage: Eukaryota; Metazoa; Chordata; Actinopteri; Cypriniformes; Catostomidae
Exons: 4
Source: RefSeq, a predicted model, not a curated record
AUGGAGGUGUUUAAGGUCACGUGUGCGCGGAUGGAUGUGUUUAAGGUCACGUAUGCGCGGAUGGAGGUGUUUGAGGUCACGUGUGCGCGGAUGGAUGUGUUUGAGGUCACGUGUGCGCGGAUGGAUGUGUUUGAGGUCACGUGUGCGCGGAUGGAGGUGUUUAAGGUCACGUGUGCGCGGAUGGAGGUGUUUAAGGUCACGUGUGCGCGGAUGGAGGUGUUUAAGGUCACGUGUGCGCGGAUGGAGGUGUUUAAGGUCACGUGUGCGCGGAUGGAGGUGUUUAAGGUCACGUGUGCGCGGAUGGAGGUGUUUUAAGGUCAGGUGUGCGCUGAUGGAGGUGUUUUAAGGUCAGGUGUGCGCUGAUGGAGGUGUUUUAAGGUCACGUGUGCGCGGAUGGAGGUGUUUAUGGUCACGUGUGCGCGGAUGGAGGUUGUGUGAUCUGGUUUGUAGCAGAAUGAUGUUUACUCUGGAAGUGUGGUGGUUGAAUCGGGGUUUUCUGUCCUAACUGAUUCUAGAGGAAGUAGAAAGUCUGAUGAGGAAGUGUUUGAGCGUAAUUUAGCCACAACUGUCACCUGUCAGAACCAGGAUUUUCCCUCUCAUGAACAAACUGACCAGAAAGUGAGAACUGAGAGGUGUGUGUGUGGUUUGUGUGUGAGCGCGUGUGUGUGUGUGUGUGAGUGAGCGCACACACGUGUGUGCUUGAAUGUGUGACUGACUGAGUGAGUGUUUGAGUGUGUGAUUGAGCGCACGCAUGUGCUUGAAUGUGUGUGUGUGUGUGUGUGUGACUGAGUGAGCGAGCGAGCGCGCUUGAGAGUGUGUGUGUGUGUGAGUGUGUGUGAGAGUGACUGAGUGAGCGUGUGCGUAAGUUGUGCGUGCGUGUGUGUGUGUGUGUGUGUGUGCGUGUGCGCUAUUUCCCCAUUUUACCUUCAGUAGGAACCCCCCUGUAGCGUAACAAUAUUAAGAAUGAAGCGUGUUCUUGAUCCGCAAUGCUUCAUUAUAUUUGUGUGUCACAGAUGGAUAUGACGUGUGUUACAGAAGAACAGCACAUGACUGAGAUGUUCUG